GACGAACGCUGGCGGCGUGCCUAAUACAUGCAAGUUGAGCGCUGAAGGUUGGUACUUGUACCAACUGGAUGAGCAGCGAACGGGUGAGUAACGCGUGGGGAAUCUGCCUUUGAGCGGGGGACAACAUUUGGAAACGAAUGCUAAUACCGCAUAAAAACUUUAAACACAAGUUUUAAGUUUGAAAGAUGCAAUUGCAUCACUCAAAGAUGAUCCCGCGUUGUAUUAGCUAGUUGGUGAGGUAAAGGCUCACCAAGGCGAUGAUACAUAGCCGACCUGAGAGGGUGAUCGGCCACAGUGGGACUGAGACACGGCCCAAACUCCUACGGGAGGCAGCAGUAGGGAAUCUUCGGCAAUAGACGAAAGUCUGACCGAGCAACGCCGCGCGAGUGAAGAAGGUUUUCGGAUCGUAAAACUCUGUUGGUAGAGAAGAACGUUGGUGAGAGUGGAAAGCUCAUCAAGUGACGGUAACUACCCAGAAAGGGACGGCUAACUACGUG
Molecule: ribosomal RNA, 497 nt
Filed under: uncultured bacterium
Lineage: Bacteria
Description: partial 16S ribosomal RNA
Rfam family: Bacterial small subunit ribosomal RNA
Source: RNAcentral